RNAcentral lists this long non-coding RNA (885 nucleotides) under Macaca mulatta (Rhesus monkey). Its description in RNAcentral is "lncRNA (ENSMMUG00000056124.1)". Lineage: Eukaryota; Metazoa; Chordata; Mammalia; Primates; Cercopithecidae. The record is from RNAcentral.
UUAAACUUGAGUUAGCAAUAUUAUAAGCAAAUUGGUGUUUUUUUUUUUUUUAAAGAAACCUACAGUAGAUUUUAUUUAAAACUGAAUAUUUAACGGUUUAUUGGGUAAGCCUAAAGGCUUGAAAUUACACGUCUAUGAAUUUAGGCCUAGCGUUUUUGACACCUUGGAUCCUAUUCUCCUUCCUUUGCUAUUUUUUAACUUACUGCAACAGAUGAGGGGGCUCUUAAACCAUCUGUUAACCUUUCUUUCUCCUUUUUUUAACCGUGUAGAGUCGCUCAAGGCAAGAAGACCCAGUGCCAGCAAGACUGAAACAAAAAAGCAAAAGAGCUUUUAAGAGCAAGCCUUCUGACUCAGAACCUGCUCCCGGACCUCCCCGUGGUCUCCCUGGACCAGUGCUGUGACUCUGGGGGAACGCCAGGGAAGGAAGAGAGGAAAACCUCGUUAUUGAUGCUAAAUGAUACCCUCUCAAACAGGAGAAUUCUUCUCAUCUUCUGUUUUCUGUGAAGCAAGGAUAAUAAGAAGCUUCAAAUUGAAACAUGUUUUAUUUUUCAAAACUUAAAGAGCUUAAGGUAAUUUAUACACGCACUUUUAAAAAUUUUAAGAAGUACUGAAAGGCUUGUAGUGAAAAGCUCAUCUUCCACUCCUCAGAGCGAUCACUUUGUAAAAUGAAAUUUUUAUUGAGGUAAAAUUUACAUAUGGUGAAAUACGUACACAGACUUUAAGUCUUCAAGCCAAGUGGUUUUGAUAAAAAUUGGUGCAGUGGUGUAACUACCACCACGUUCAAGAUACAGAUCAUUUCUAUCACCCCUGAAAAUACCUUCAUGCCCUUUGGUCAUGCUAUACAGGAAAGCAAAAGUAAUUCACCAGAAUGACCAUGAAAAUGAC